This 253-nucleotide ribosomal RNA is filed under the name uncultured bacterium. RNAcentral describes it as "partial 16S ribosomal RNA". It matches the Rfam family "Bacterial small subunit ribosomal RNA", at positions 524 to 776 of the family's 1533-position model. The record is from RNAcentral.
UACAGAGGGAGCUAGCGUUGUUCGGAAAUACUGGGCGUAAAGCGCACGUAGGCGGCGCAGCAAGUCAGGGGUGAAAUCCCGGGGCUCAACCCCGGAACUGCCCUUGAAACUGCAGUGCUAGAAUUCUGGAGAGGCGAGUGGAAUUCCGAGUGUAGAGGUGAAAUUCGUAGAUAUUCGGAAGAACACCAGUGGCGAAGGCGACUCGCUGGACAGACAUUGACGCUGAGGUGCGAAAGCGUGGGGAGCAAACAGG